This 477-nucleotide ribosomal RNA is filed under the name uncultured anaerobic ammonium-oxidizing bacterium. RNAcentral describes it as "bacterial SSU rRNA". It matches the Rfam family "Bacterial small subunit ribosomal RNA", at positions 365 to 832 of the family's 1533-position model. The record is from RNAcentral.
UUCGCAAUGCCCGAAAGGGUGACGAAGCGACGCCGCGUGCGGGAAGAAGGCCUUCGGGUUGUAAACCGCUGUCGGGAGUUAAGAAAUGCAAGGAUGUUAACAGCGUCCUUGCUUGACUAUGGCUCCGGAGGAAGCCACGGCUAACUCUGUGCCAGCAGCCGCGGUAAUACAGAGGCGGCAAGCGUUGUUCGGAAUUAUUGGGCGUAAAGAGCACGUAGGCGGCCGUGUAAGUCGGUUGUGAAAGCCUUCCGCUCAACGGAAGGACGGCAUCCGAUACUGCAUGGCUCGAGUGCGGGAGGGGAGAGUGGAAUUUCUGGUGGAGCGGUGAAAUGCGUAGAUAUCAGAAGGAACACCGGCGGCGAAGGCGACUCUCUGGCCCGUAACUGACGCUGAGUGUGCGAAAGCUAGGGGAGCAAACGGGAUUAGAUACCCCGGUAGUCCUAGCCGUAAACGAUGGGCACUAAGUAGAGGGGUUUU